GGCGGAGUAGUGUAAGAGAGCACGCGGAAUUAUAUUUCGAAGAGUGGGUUGCUGUCUUGCCUCCGCAG
Molecule: transfer RNA, 68 nt
Filed under: Placopecten magellanicus (sea scallop)
Lineage: Eukaryota; Metazoa; Mollusca; Bivalvia; Pectinida; Pectinidae
Description: tRNA-Met
Source: RNAcentral